This 117-nucleotide ribosomal RNA is filed under the name Paramormyrops kingsleyae. The record is from RNAcentral. Lineage: Eukaryota; Metazoa; Chordata; Actinopteri; Osteoglossiformes; Mormyridae.
GUCAGCAGUCCUACCACCUGCAGUUCAGACUAUGUAAUCCACCUAAAAUUAAGCAGGUUUGGGUCUGGCCAGUACUUGGAUGGGAGACCAACUAGGAAAGCUGGGUUGCUGCUGGAA